RNAcentral lists this ribosomal RNA (487 nucleotides) under uncultured bacterium. RNAcentral's name for it is "bacterial SSU rRNA". It matches the Rfam family "Bacterial small subunit ribosomal RNA", at positions 28 to 507 of the family's 1533-position model. The record is from RNAcentral.
GAUGAACGCUAGCGAUAGGCUUAACACAUGCAAGUCGAGGGGCAGCACGGUGUAGCAAUACACGUGGUGGCGACCGGCGUACGGGUGCGUAACACGUAUGCAACCUACCCGCUAGUUGGGGAUAACCCGGCGAAAGUCGGACUAAUAUCCCAUAUUAUUCUUACCGGGCAUCCGGUGAGUCUGAAAGAUUUAUCGAUUGCGGAUGGGCAUGCGGAUGAUUAGCUAGUAGGUGGGGUAACGGCUCACCUAGGCGACGAUCAUUAGGGGUUCUGAGAGGAAGGUCCCCCACACUGGAACUGAGACACGGUCCAGACUCCUACGGGAGGCAGCAGUGAGGAAUAUUGGUCAAUGGGCGCUAGCCUGAACCAGCCAAGUCGCGUGAAGGAUGACAGAUCUAUGGUUUGUAAACUUCUUUUGCAGGGGAGUAAAGUGCGACACGUGUGUUGUAUUGCAAGUACCCUGCGAAUAAGCAUCGGCUAACUCCGUG